RNAcentral lists this transfer RNA (74 nucleotides) under Candidatus Zambryskibacteria bacterium RIFCSPHIGHO2_01_FULL_49_18. Its description in RNAcentral is "tRNA-Pro". It matches the Rfam family "tRNA". Rfam says of the family: Transfer RNA (tRNA) molecules are approximately 80 nucleotides in length. Their secondary structure includes four short double-helical elements and three loops (D, anti-codon, and T loops). Further hydrogen bonds mediate the characteristic L-shaped molecular structure. tRNAs have two regions of fundamental functional importance: the anti-codon, which is responsible for specific mRNA codon recognition, and the 3' end, to which the tRNAs corresponding amino acid is attached (by aminoacyl-tRNA synthetases). tRNAs cope with the degeneracy of the genetic code in two manners: having more than one tRNA (with a specific anti-codon) for a particular amino acid; and 'wobble' base-pairing, i.e. permitting non-standard base-pairing at the 3rd anti-codon position. RNAcentral also lists the same sequence under 1 other name. Lineage: Bacteria; Candidatus Zambryskiibacteriota. The record is from RNAcentral.
CGGAGUAUAGUAUAGUGGCAGUAUACAUCCAUGGGGUGGAUGCGGCGGCGGUUCAAUUCCGCCUGCUCCGACAA